This 253-nucleotide ribosomal RNA is filed under the name uncultured bacterium. RNAcentral describes it as "partial 16S ribosomal RNA". It matches the Rfam family "Bacterial small subunit ribosomal RNA", at positions 524 to 776 of the family's 1533-position model. The record is from RNAcentral.
UACGGGGGGGGCAAGCGUUGUUCGGAAUUACUGGGCGUAAAGGGCUUGUAGGUGGCCAACUAAGUCAGACGUGAAAUCCCUCGGCUUAACCGGGGAACUGCGUCUGAUACUGGAUGGCUGGAGUGUGGGAGAGGGAUGCGGAAUUCCAGGUGUAGCGGUGAAAUGCGUAGAUAUCUGGAGGAACACCGGUGGCGAAGGCGGCAUCCUGGACCAAUAUUGACGCUGAGGAGCGAAAGCCAGGGGAGCAAACGGG